Molecule: small nucleolar RNA, 151 nt
Filed under: Myotis lucifugus (little brown bat)
Lineage: Eukaryota; Metazoa; Chordata; Mammalia; Chiroptera; Vespertilionidae
Source: RNAcentral
GGGGCGUUCGAGCAGAACUGGACCUCGAUAUUUUCUUAAAACAAUAAAAAAAUAGAGUGUGAGAAGUGUGCUAGAUUAAUGGCAGGACUGUGGCUGGCAGCAGUAGAGCUUGCCCGUAUGACUCGAGCUGAUAGUGCUCUCUGCCACAUUC